RNAcentral lists this ribosomal RNA (497 nucleotides) under uncultured bacterium. RNAcentral describes it as "partial 16S ribosomal RNA". It matches the Rfam family "Bacterial small subunit ribosomal RNA", at positions 28 to 507 of the family's 1533-position model. The record is from RNAcentral.
GAUGAACGCUGGCGGCGUGCCUAAUACAUGCAAGUCGAGCGAACAGACGAGGAGCUUGCUCCUCUGACGUUAGCGGCGGACGGGUGAGUAACACGUGGAUAACCUACCUAUAAGACUGGGAUAACUUCGGGAAACCGGAGCUAAUACCGGAUAAUAUAUUGAACCGCAUGGUUCAAUAGUGAAAGACGGUUUUGCUGUCACUUAUAGAUGGAUCCGCGCCGCAUUAGCUAGUUGGUAAGGUAACGGCUUACCAAGGCAACGAUGCGUAGCCGACCUGAGAGGGGGAUCGGCCACCCGGGAACUGAGACACGGUCCAGACUCCUACGGGAGGCAGCAGUAGGGAAUCUUCCGCAAUGGGCGAAAGCCGGACGGAGCAACGCCGCGUGAGUGAUGAAGGUCUUCGGAUCGUAAAACUCGGUUAUUAGGGAAGAACAAAUGUGUAAGUAACUAUGCACGUCUUGACGGUACCUAAUCAGAAAGCCACGGCUAACUACGUG